ACGCUCGACACCUAGGAGGCAGCAGUCGGGAAUAUUGCGCAAUGGAGGAAACUCUGACGCAGUGACGCCGCGUAUAGGAAGAAGGUUUUCGGAUUGUAAACUAUUGUCGUUAGGGAAGAAAAAAGACAGUACCUAAGGAGGAAGCUCCGGCUAACUACGUGCCAGCAGCCGCGUAAUCUGAGGCGGGCGUGGACGAAGGCG
RNAcentral lists this ribosomal RNA (201 nucleotides) under uncultured bacterium. RNAcentral describes it as "partial 16S ribosomal RNA". It matches the Rfam family "Bacterial small subunit ribosomal RNA", at positions 328 to 538 of the family's 1533-position model. The record is from RNAcentral.